UUUAAAAAAAAAAAUUUCAUUACCUUAACCUUAACAUUUUUAUCCUAGAACAUUAUAGGAACACUGCGCGCACCUCGGACAUUCGUAUAUAACUCGGCAUUUCAUAUACGAAUCUCGGUUAUGUAUUCGGUCAUGAUGAAUGUUAUAUAUAUUAUAGUAAAUUUAUAUAAGCGGCACAUAAUUUUAUGUAGGUCUCCAUUAUAACUUUAUACAUCUCGAUAAAGCCGGCAAGGGGUGAAGGCAGCUGCAAGUCAAUGAAGAGGACUGGACAAAGGUUGCCUAGUUCAGGCAGUAAGCGUAGCGAGGAUACAAGCCUCGACGGCCUACUAGACAGCCAGUUAGACGAGGAAUCAGGUAGGCAACCAAAGGGACCCUAUGCAGUCUAAACUAUACUCUAAGCCGUACCCUACGUAUAUAUAUAUACAGGAUCGAUAAGUGAGUAAGAGAAGGGGCGUGCAGGACUAGUCUAGUAGUUAGUAGACCAGGCGGCCCCCGAGAGUGGGUAGGGAGAGGGAAAAAUGUAAAGGGGGGGCGGGGAGUUGAAAGAAGCGCACCAGAGACCACGGGGAAAAGAAUACAAACAAAACAGAAGCGUGCAGAGAGACAGCUGUUCUUGCUGUUGGUAUCCCUGCUCUAGCACAGAGAACCAGAUAUCGGCUCUUGAUAUACAUUAUAAUCAGGCAGAUGUAAAAUGCAAGAAGCUCUAAAGGAACUCCGGAGCGAUCAUUUUUAAAAUUAUUCUCAGUAUUCACGUAGACGAUUCUUAUCUCCGUAGAUAAACAUUUACAGUCCAUUGUUUUUAUGGCAAUACCGCAUAUAUAUAUAUGAAACUCGCUCGUUUCCCGUAUCUCGGAAAAAUAAAACGAUAUACAGGAUCCUUAGGUGUUCGAGUGAAAAAAAAAAAAUAAUAUUUUUUUUUCCAUCCAUUUCUCGUAACUCGAACGGACGUCGCUUUCGACGGUCUUUAUAUUUUUAAACAUUUUUUUCUCGUAUCCACGUAUAUGCCGUGUAGCACCCCAAAGCGGAAUUCAUGGUGAUUAUUGUAACAGAGGAAAUCCGCUGUUCCAGUCGAGAGAGUGGACUUGAACCGUAAAGGUUUUUAUCAGAAAAAUAUAUCUGUUGUAUUCACGUGACGUAGAAGUCGAAAUGAGAAGGCAGAAUUUCAGGGAUCUUUUGAAUCUAAAAUAAAUGAAAUUCCAUAUUAUACCUAUAUACUCUAUUCGUGCUUAGUGUGAUACAAGAAUUGUACCUGAUACGUAAAUAGCCCUUAUACAAGUUACAACUGUCAAACUGAUGUACCCCAUGAUGUCGAUGUACCCCAAUGAGUGUCGUAAAAAAAAAAUAUGAAAAAAUGAUUCAAUAUUGUAAUAAACAAUAUGAAUUAAUUACGUCAAAAUUAUUUUUAUAAUACAUCAAUACGUAUAUAUAAAUAAAAUUAAUUUUAUCAGUCAGCCGAGAGUCACCGGAAAAUAAUUUUUCUGUUUCUUUUUAGUAUGCACCUCCCAGCGCUACCAGCCAGCUGCGCGGUUAUGGCAACAGAGCAAAUCGUUAGGAAUGUCAUUUACUCCCGUUCUAUUAUUAGCAUUUGGAUUCUCGUAAUAACGAACGGUCACUUUUAAUUGUCAGACCCCUAUAACGUUGAAUAUGCAGUUUCCUAUUCAAAAUUGAAUAUAUCGUAUCAGUCAGUAGCCCCACGAGGUUAUCUAUCUGUUUCAUCAGGCCGACUGUUCGCAGUCCCAGUUAUCAUUUGAAUGACACGCGAGUGACUUUUGUCGCUAUUGUUUCGCGACGUAUUCUCACGACAGGCCGCAGCCACAAGUAGCGACGCAAUGAUUUUCAAGGAACGCGGAGAUACUUGCUGUAGUAUCGGAUAUAAUGAAAUGACAGGCGAGUCAUUGAGUGGCAGUUGUCAUUAUAUGACAGUACGAGGUUCGAUGAAUGACGACACAGUGUACCGAUUGACAAUGACAACGUGUCGUCCGAUAUUACGUAAGAGAUAGUAAUUAAUUGAAAUAAUUAAUUUCGAUCUGGAUCGUUUGACAGAAAAAAAAUAAUUUUAAACUCGAUUCGCUUGAUCAAUUGGAUGAGUUUCCACGUGAACGACGUAUCUGGGUCGACGAUUUUCACAGAUAUUUAUUUUCCUAUCGCAUCCAUCAAGCCGAUUAGAUCGUCCGAUCCUCGAGCAAACGAGUCGUCGAUGACGACUUGACCGAAAAAUAGGAUCGGCCGAUGGCCGUGGAUAUAGAUAGACCAGAGACGUACUGGAUCGGAUCGAUCGAUCAUCCUAGGCAGCGGGUCACGACACUGUGAAUAAUAAAGGAGGCAAAGCGGAAAAGAAGGAAAGAAAAAAAAAAGUGGGUAAAAGGAACAAGAGGGUUAUAAACUUUCUACGCGGAUUCGUUACAGUGCGUCGAUUAUCGCGAUCGAUUUAUCGAUAGCGCGGAACCGGGCGAUAAGAACGCGCCAUAAAUGUGCCUCGCGCGAGAUUGUGAGACUUUUAUUUAUAUAUAUAUAUAUACGCAAGUACUUUCCUGUUUGAUGGCUGUUCGUGCCAAUCCUUCGCAGAAAAUCCAAAUGCUCUUUGUUCUUGAUUAAAAAUGUAAUUUCUAAAAUCUAUAAAAAAAAAAAAACUAAUAAACAUUUGACUUCGAGUAAACAAAUCCACGUACGUCCAUCUUGAGCAACUCAGGUCGCACGCACAGAGCGAUGGGUUCGUCUGCCGAGCCAAAGCGCUAGAAACCCGGCGGUCGUCCUUUGUCACUAAAGUCCGCGUGUAUUUUCCCGUGCGUACAUCACGCGUCCGCGCACGUGUAUUAUUAGACGUGUAUUUUGGGGUAAACUUGCGUAGUCAGUGUCGCGACGGGGAAGGCUGAAUUCGAGUGUAAAGCCGCGACGUGUUCAAGUAUUCGUCGCACAGACCUCCGCUGGCAUAUACGAACCUAACCUAAGCGCCCUUGACGUCGUCCCAGACGAAACGUUGUUAAGACUCCCGUCAGUGCCAUCUGCACGCGUCGAAAUAGUUUCACUAUAUGAAUAACGUGCAAGACCCGAACGUCUACAUUCACGCCGACCGUAACUUACAGAGCACGCACUCCGUGUUGUCUCUGUAUAAAUAAUUUACCUAGCUAAAAAAAAAGUGACCUUCCAUAACCAAGGUGGAUUGGCAGUGGAAAAAAAGUACUAGGAAUAAUCAAUUACCUGAACAAUGACGUACACAGUUGAGGUUAGUAUUGUGGGAUAGAAUUAGGGACGGGUGGCUGGGAUAUAUGUGGGUUGGUACCCCUUUGUCCUUUCGACAGCAUUGAUGCGUCCUACAAUACUAGCGCGGUAUUAACGUCGGAGCAGGGUUUCGUUUUCGAGACGUGAAACUAGCCAGUUGUAGAAUAUACAGGUAACGCAGCUGAUAAAGAAAAAGAAAAAGUUUAAGCACCAUAAUUCGGCAAUAUAUACGACGAAUUUCACUGGGCGUUGACGAUUUAUCGAAUAACAGUAAUUCGUCAGAACGACCGGUGUUGUUUAUUAAAAAAAAAAUAUUUUGAUCGACGUGGAAAAUAAUCGAAGAAGUAAAAAUACCCGUGCGUUCAAAAAUUUCGGAGAAACCGUCCGCGACGUUCUAAUUGAUACAUGGAAAAGCUAAAUACCGAUUUCGCAAUUACGUCAAAAUAUAGCCUAACCUCAAAAACUGUAAAAGCUACUAAAUCGCCUUAGGAACUAUCUGACUUAACAAGGACACGCGGUGUCAACUGCUAUAGACCCGCAUGGAUACAAUUAUAACGUACCACCCGCUGAUGUGCACAUUUAUUACUAUGAGAGAUACGUGAUAAUUCAAUAUUUGACGCAAGAACGCCAUUGCCACCGAAGAAUUGGUCGGAUCAAAGGUCAUCGUAUUUCGAAAGUAUUUUUAUCUAUUUUAAAGAGCAACAAGAAAAGCUAAUAAUUAUGAAGAGCCGUGCGAGGGUUAUCGCUAUGAAUUAAACGACCCAAGACUUCUAGUUACACAAUAAUACACCGAGGAUUAAAGGAAGCGGCAAAUUCAACUUCCUAUUCGAAAGCGUCGUCGAGUGAUACGAAUAAUCCACAUGGAAGCUGCGUGGGUCAAAGUUUGAAAAGAAGAAUAAAGCGCACAUGUGUAUCACCGUAAAUCAUACGUACGUAUGGAGCUGUAUGCAAGAAGCGCCCAAAGCAAGGCGACACGAUAAUACAUAACCUCGUGCGGGAGUGUUGUGUGAAUUCGGCGUGGGAAGGUUAGAAAUGUUGGUGAGGCUGGCAGGGAGUGAAGUGUGGUAGGGUAAAGAGAGAUAAAUAGAGAUAGCGCUAGAAGGAUUGAGAGAGAAAAAUAAAUGAGAAAGGUAGUAACAGAGCGAGCGAGUGCGAGAGAGACAAGCAUACAGCCAAGUGAAGGGUCCCCGGUAAGCCGUUCCGGUUGACUCGGGGUAGGAAGGAGGUAGACUGGAGGGAUCAGACAGAGCAGGCGCUGUUGCCAAGCGGAAACCACGGACGUCGCAUUUUGUUCGUCGGCCGUUCUCGCUCUCCGUGACUGGUUUGAACGCGGAACGGUGCAGCUUUCGGAAAUUUUAGCCGGAAACAGAUGCGUUGCCAUCGAAGCCAAUCGAAAUUAACGCGUACAGCCUCGUGGGUGUCGAUGUUGUGUACUGUCGGGUAGCCACAUUUUUUUUUGUAAAUAUAUACACACGUGUUCUCUUUUCUGAUAACAAUAUUAUCAUAUACGUGUAUAUAUAUACAGUGACGUUCACGUACCCGAUGGUUUUAUUACGAAGUCUUAUUACACAGGAGAAAAAUAAAAACCAAACGACGCGCCAGCCACGACCCAAUGCAUGGCCGCUCGAAAAUAGACGCCAAGAUGGCGCUGCGAGUCGUAAGGUAAUUUAGCGACGAGUCGUGGGACUUGUGCCAGGGUUCAUUGGCAUGAUUAUGAAAACAAUGCAGAAUGGCCUAGGGUUACGUGACCUGCAGAGUCGAAGACUCGAGAGGAUGACGUUCGUAUUAUCUCUACAAUUUUUUAAAAGCAUUUCAACAUGACAAGAAGAGAUGGACAACGCGCGUCUCUACGUUAACGCAGACAAUGAAUUAGGAAUGAAGAAGCGUCUCGAGGUUCUACCGAAAAACUGGAUUUUUUUUCUUCCUCUUCUUACCUUCCUUCCAGACACGCGUCAUGCAAAAUACACACCCGGCUGACUCUAGCGAAGGGACAAUGGAUGAGAGGGGUCUGCCAUUUUCUCUUUUUCACGCGCUUUGGCUUUCAGGAAAGGUAAAAGCGUCCACGCUUAAUUGCAAUCGUUUAAUUGAACUCCCAGGAACGCUUUUCCAGUUUUAAGCAGCAAAUCAUUUCGAACAGCUGAAUAGAAUUCACGGCGGAUAUCGAUGGACGAUAAAAAGACGGAUUUUCUACAGGCAGGUUUCGAACUUCUCAUGAAUCUUUUAUUUCGAGGACUGCAAGCGUGAACGAACAAAGCAGUAUCUAUGAAUUUUCACGAUUCAUCCAUUGAUUCAUAGGAGGAACGUUGCGAUUACGCGCGAGAUCGAUUCGAACAAGCCCUUGACUAUACUUGUAAACCGGCGUCAGUUAGGUUAGUUUCGAGGCCCCUGAUUAAUGCAUGCUUCGAUGGGCCCUUCUGCGAACAAAGCAACGACGGAAACAUCUGCCGCCAUCUGUUCGACGUGUGGCAGAGAAUUUGCGAGAGGAAACGUGACCGAAGUGAAAACGAAUAAUAAUAAACGAACUUAUAAUGACGAUCGCGUAAGGUCGACGGCAAUAAUCUACAAAGCUUUCCCGAACCCGAGCGCUGUCACGUUGCCGUGGACUAUUCCGAUGAAAUCAUCGUCUUUCGUACAAGAUGAAAAGUCGCGGCAGCAGAAGAAGCUGGUUCCGGUCAUGCCUGCCAACCUUCCGAGAAAUCGUUUCAACGCAACAGUCCCGGUAGCUGCCCUCGGCGAAACAAGAAACAUGAAAGUCUUGUACGGGUCCCGGUUACGUUUACGAAGCUCCACUUUACACUGGACAGGAAGUUUAUUCGAUAAACUGAUGCCCGACGGGGUCGCCAUGAUGUUUCUUUACGAUCGACCACGAGAGUUUCGUAAUUUUGUCGAGAUACUUUUUCUUUAUGACAUUUCUUCUUCUUUUUUUUUCACUGUUAUAUACUCUAAACACGAAUUAGUUUAUGGAAUAAGUUUUCAACGUAUACAAGUAAAAGUACAGUCACGAACAUAAAUACGUAAUAACGUUAUUGAUAAAUUAGAAAAAAAAAAGAUGCCGAUAAAAUUGAUCUAGAAUUGUCAAUUUUGAAAGGUGAAAUCCCCGAGGGAUCGACUUUCAAAAUAGAAACUAACAACAUCGAUAAAUUCACUGAAUCAACAACUGAUUGGGGAACGUGUGUUCUAAUCAGAAAUCGAUGAUCGAUCGAUCAUAUUUGCUUGGUGAUAUUUGCGGAUAACGCGGAAGAUCGAUAAAAGAUAAAUCGUUACUAUCGAAAAGUGCACUUAUGCCAUUAGAAAUAAAAAUUUCGUAACGCUAACUAUAUCGUAAGGACCCACGUAAGAGCGUGUCCUUAAAAUAAGAAAUAGCUUGAAGAAAGCUUCUAUAAAUAUGAUUUUUAAAGUCCACCAAAAUGGUGGCGCUUCGAAUGUUAAACGUGUUUGGCAAUGAUGUAGCCUCGCGCACGGUUUGGCAACGUUGCCACGUCUGAACGACCACCCGGGCAUCUUGUUUUCCUGCCAGCCGCGAUUCCCGACCCUCUUAAACGAGCAUAGCGCGAUAUCGGCAUAUCUCUUUAAAGCCGGCGCUUCCUACACUUUCAGAUCAGCUUGGGCUAUUGCACAGAGAGCUACGGUGUUAUAUACAAUCUGAUAAGGAUUUAAGCCUCGCGACAAACAGUGUUACAAGAUACGAGAAUAGUGCGUGUAACUUAAAAAGACACUAAUACUAUUUAAAAAAAAUUGUUUAUCCAAUAUAUUUAUGAAUAUAAAUAAUUACACGUUGAAAAAAAGAUAAGAAUAUGCCAAGUCAAAAGAUUUCAAUAAAUAGCUCUUUCCUCUAUAUUAACUUAUUUCGAAAAAUUAAUCAAUGACUCACUGACACGUCAAUGAUCCUUUUAAUUCCUUUCCUGAUCACACAGAGUUCAUAUUUGUCGCACGAGUUAUCGCACAAGUGACUCUAUGCCAGGUUCUACAUAGCUAGUAAAUUAAUUAUACUUAAUUAAGAAAAAAGCCUCUACAACGUUCUAGAGCCCGUGAAGAUUUCAAUAUAAAAUUAUGAAAGAACCAGGCGAGCGUGUUCUUGAAAAAUACCAGUCCCUGGCCUUAGGUAGAUUGCAGAGAUCAAAGAAGACCAAGUGACCCUAACAACGUGGCCGGGGCAUCGUGGAAGCACCCACACAGAAGGG
Molecule: long non-coding RNA, 7400 nt
Organism: Cephus cinctus (wheat stem sawfly)
Lineage: Eukaryota; Metazoa; Arthropoda; Insecta; Hymenoptera; Cephidae
Exons: 3
Source: RefSeq, a predicted model, not a curated record